GAUGAAGAACGCAGCGAAAUGCGAUACGUAAUGUGAAUUGCAAAUUCAGUGAAUCAUCGAGUCUUUGAACGCACAUUGCGCCCCUGGUAUUCCGGGGGGCAUGCCUGUCCGAGCGUCAUUACUGCCCUCAAGCCCGGCUUGUGUGUUGGGCCCCGUCCUCCGAUCCCGGGGGACGGGCCCGAAAGGCAGCGGCGGCACCGCGUCCGGUCCUCGAGCGUAUGGGGCUUUGUCACCCGCUCUGUAGGCCCGGCCGGCGCUUGCCGAUCAACCCCAAUUUUUAUAGGUUGACCUCGGAUCAGGUAGGGAUACCCGCUGAACUUAAGCAUAUCAAUAAGCGGAGGA
Molecule: unclassified non-coding RNA, 342 nt
Filed under: soil metagenome
Description: partial contains 5.8S ribosomal RNA, internal transcribed spacer 2, and large subunit ribosomal RNA
Rfam family: 5.8S ribosomal RNA (bases 1-118)
Source: RNAcentral